RNAcentral lists this long non-coding RNA (3574 nucleotides) under Ricinus communis (castor bean). RNAcentral's name for it is "long non-coding RNA (RCOM_LNC000625)". The record is from RNAcentral. Lineage: Eukaryota; Viridiplantae; Streptophyta; Magnoliopsida; Malpighiales; Euphorbiaceae.
GUCACAGCCCACAAGCUUCUCCAGCACCAUAGCCCGCAGGCCUAGAAUCACAGCCCGUAGAUAUGCCAGCCCAUUGGCCACAUGAAGGUUCACAAGGGCAAGGACGUCCAUUCAUACUAGAUGGAAGAUUCUAGACCAUCUAGAAACAUGUAUAUUGUGUAGAUAAUUAUGGAGGUAGGUGGUAGAUCAUUCUAGAGGCUUAAUCUUAGCCAUUAGAUGAAAUGUAUCCUCACCGUCCAUUGAGGAGGUGGAGGCCUAUAAAUAGGCUAGAGAACUUCAUUUGUAAGCAUCAAGCAUCAAGUUGUAAUCAAGCUAUUCAAGCUUAAUAGAAGAGCAAGUAGUUUCUCUCUCUAGAAAUUCUCUCUCUAAGCUUUCUUAAGCUUCCUUUUGUUCUUCUUGCCAUUCUCGCUAGCAUUUUGCCUAGCAUAAGGAGGAGUAGGCUGACUAGCUGACUUGUUUCCGCGAGAAAGUAGCUAGUGCCGCACGGUUCGUUGGUAGCAAACACCAAGCCCGUGACAGUUGGUAUCAGAGCAAGGUUAGACAAUCGUUGAAAUGGCAAAGACAUCAGGAGCAAGUGAGGCUGCUAGAGUUCCGGAAGAGGUAAGGCAACUCCAUAGUGAAGUUGUGAAGGACCAGCCGGAAGCGUCCAAGCCACCAAGGAAGGAGAGAGGAAGGUCGAGAGACGUUGUGUCUGACAUGGAAGCCAGGCUAGCCAAGGUAGAGCUAACUGUGGCCGAGGGACAAGAUACGUUCUGGGAUUUAGAGCAACGCAUCGGGGAGCUCGAGAAUGGAAGAGAGGAGCUUCAAGAGGGGAUGCAAGCUGCCUUGAACGAGGGGAUGUCCAAGUGUCAAGAACAAGCCAAGACCAUGGAGAAAACUCUCCUUGCCGAGGUUGUGACGUUGAGGGAGAUGCUUGAUGGAAUGGUUGCUAGGUUGGUGGCAACCGAAGAGGAACUUAUCCUUUGUAAGAAGGCAGCUAUCCAGGGAGGUGGAAGUGUGCCGAUGAUAGUCUCCACUUCAUCGAAGUUAGAUGUUCCGAAGCCUAAAGCUUAUAAAGGCUCGAGGAAUGCGAAGGAAAUUGAUAACUUCCUAUGGAGCUUGGAGCAAUACUUCAAGGCACUUGGCUUAGUAGAAGAAGCCAAGAAAGUUGACGCUGCCGCACUCUUCUUAGAAGAUACCGCAAUGUUGUGGUGGAGAAGGAGGAGUGGCGACAUGGAAAAGGGUACAUGCACCAUUAGCUCGUGGGGAGAAUUCAAGGAAGAUUUGAAGAAGCAAUUCUACCCCGAGAAUGCUAUUCGAGAUGCAAGGGCCAAGUUGCGGCGACUCUCGCAUACGGGAAGUAUCAAGGAGUAUGUUAAAGAAUUCACCGACACACUUCUUGAAAUUCCCAACUAUACCGAUGAAGAAGCCUUGUUUGCAUUCACGGAUGGGUUGCAGAUUUGGGCAAGGUUGGAGUUGGAGCGCCGUGGUGUCCAAGAUCUCAACACCGCCAUUGUCGUGGCCGAAUCCUUGAUAGAGAUCAGGAGGCAAGAUAAGCACAAGCCUGACCAAGAAAGGAACGGUAACGGAAAGAAUGGGGGAGAUCGCCACCACAAAAAGGAAGGCUCCUACAGGUUUGACAAGCCCAGAGAGGGAGGUAACCAUGGCAACAAGGAUGACAAAGGUGGAGAAAAGCCUCGUAUUAAGUGUUUCUUCUGCGACGGACCACAUAAGGCGAGAGAGUGCCCUACGAAGAACAAGCUCUCUGCGUUGGUCGAAGAAAGGGAAGAACACCAACGAGUGCAAGAGGAGUCUAAGAUGGGUUCACUACAACUUCUCAGUGCCAUCAAAACCAAAUUUGAGAUGCCCGAGUCCAAAAAGAAGGGCCGAUUGUUCGUGGAAGCGAAGGUUGGAAGCCGUACGGUAGAAGCAUUGAUAGAUACCGGGGCUAACAACAACUUCCUCGAGGUAAAGGAGGCAGAAAGACUUGGCAUCAAAUAUGCAAAGGAGCAAGGGUGGCUCAAGGCUGUGAACUCGGCGCCGAACGCAACAUGUGGGUUUGCGCGAGAUGUCAAAGUAAGCCUCGGUGAGUGGUCUGGCCUCUUAGACUUUUCCAUUAUUACAAUGGAUGACUAUGAAAUGGUGCUUGGCAUAGAAUUCUUGGAUAAAGUGAAUGCAUUCCCACUUCCCUUUGCCAACACCAUGUGUAUCUUGGAGCAAGGGAAUACUUGUAUGGUACCGUUGAAACGAGAAGCCAAGGUAAAAGCCAUGAAGAUCUCGGCCAUGCAAUUGUCUGAGCGGGUAGAGAAGGCUCAGCCGUCAUUCCUUGCGGCACUAAAGGAAGAAGUGGCAGUCUCGCCACAAGAUAAAGUGCCAAAGGAGAUAACAGGGGUCCUAGAUGAGUUUGGGAAUGUAAUGCCUGCGGAGUUACCGAAGAAGCUCCCACCGAAGAGAGAGGUGGAUCAGAAAAUGGAGUUGGUAGAAGGUACAAGGCCGCUUACAACAGUCCCUUAUAGUAUGGCACCCCUUGAGUUCGAAGAGUUGCGGAGGCAACCAAAAGAGUUGUUGGAUGCUAGCCACACUAGGCCAUCCAAGGCUCCAUGUGAACCACCGGUACUCAAGCAAAAGAAGCCAACUCUGAAGCAAGAAAGAUGGCAAGCAUCCCUUGUGGAGUCCGAUUUUGCGAAGGAGUACAAGCCGGGAAAGGCAAACUUAGUGGCCGAUGCGCUAAGUAGCAAGGCAAAGUUAGCUUCCACCACUAAUGCUAACUUUCCUUCAUUGGACCAAGGCAAGGUGGAACAAAACAAGCCCACCGAAUUGUCAAAGCCAUUACCGAAGUACAAGGGAUGGCAUGAGAAAGCCGACAGGGCAUGUGUUCCUCUAACCAAGGCCGCCAAGAGAAUGAAGAAGUGGGCAGAUGGAAAGAAGAGUCAUUCAGAGUUUGAGGAGGGAGGCUUAAUGAUGGUAAAGCUCCUUCCCCAUCAAGACCGAAGAUUUGCCAAGAAACUUAAAGGGCAUAAUCAAGGCAUACAGCGGGGACGCGACGAGGGCGUCGCCAGGAUGAGUGGGGGAGAAUGUCACAGCCCACAAGCUUCUCCAGCACCAUAGCCCGCAGGCCUAGAAUCACAGCCCGUAGAUAUGCCAGCCCAUUGGCCACAUGAAGGUUCACAAGGGCAAGGACGUCCAUUCAUACUAGAUGGAAGAUUCUAGACCAUCUAGAAACAUGUAUAUUGUGUAGAUAAUUAUGGAGGUAGGUGGUAGAUCAUUCUAGAGGCUUAAUCUUAGCCAUUAGAUGAAAUGUAUCCUCACCGUCCAUUGAGGAGGUGGAGGCCUAUAAAUAGGCUAGAGAACUUCAUUUGUAAGCAUCAAGCAUCAAGUUGUAAUCAAGCUAUUCAAGCUUAAUAGAAGAGCAAGUAGUUUCUCUCUCUAGAAAUUCUCUCUCUAAGCUUUCUUAAGCUUCCUUUUGUUCUUCUUGCCAUUCUCGCUAGCAUUUUGCCUAGCAUAAGGAGGAGUAGGCUGACUAGCUGACUUGUUUCCGCGAGAAAGUAGCUAGUGCCGCACGGUUCGUUGGUAGCAAACACCAAGCCCGUGACAG